Molecule: long non-coding RNA, 1815 nt
Organism: Lethenteron reissneri (Far Eastern brook lamprey)
Lineage: Eukaryota; Metazoa; Chordata; Hyperoartia; Petromyzontiformes; Petromyzontidae
Source: RefSeq, a predicted model, not a curated record
GCUGCGCUAUGAACCCGGCGACACGGGUUCGAUUUCCGCUCACGGCCAACACCGGUGACGAUUAUCUGAACCGGUCCUGGGCCUCCCCUAGGUCGACUCAGCCUCAAAUGAGAACCUGGUGCGGUGUGUAAACAUCGCCACUGGGGAGACAAAGGCGGUCGGGCGUGGUGCUGGCCACCAACUCCCUCUUGUGCCGUGCCGGCCUUCAUAGGUGCUCGCUAACAGUACUUGCCCCUGCAGUCUGUUCAGGUUAUACGGGGAACGCUUUGUCCUUUGUUUACGUUGCGCGCAUGGAAAACGAAAGUUUAAAAUGAAAUGUUUAACAACGAUGAACGACGUCUGGAACAACAACGACCACAACAGAGCGGCAUAAUGCCCAUGCAUAGCGAUCGAGUUUCAAGUGCAUUUCGUUCCGCCAGGCGCGACAGGCGGAGAGAAGUGGAGACGGGGAGCGACAAGCCGCCAACGCUCUGGAAAGAGGACGGCGAUGACGAUGAUCGCCAAGGCAGCCACCCAGCCAAGAUCUGAACUUGCAGCCUCCUGGUCGCGACCCAGCCCGCUCGCCUGUUGCGCCACGUGGUCUAAACUCCCACGCACCACCCCCGCACUGCCGUGGUCAAGCGGCUCGCUGUCAAUUUCAACGAUCGUUGCCGAGUUUCCGUCCAGUGGUAGCGCACGGCGGUGGGGAUGGGAAUGUUCAGCAACUGCAGAGUCGACAGGGCUCGAUUAUUGCAACUCGCUACUCUCCAGGACGUCUGGCAAAAGAAAAAAAACAUUACCAAAGCUGCAGCGCCUACAAAACCCGAUGGCACGUGUUGUGACGGAUUCUGCAAGAUAUGACCUUGUCUGUCCGGUGCUCGCCGAGCCGCAAUGACUUCCGGUUGCCGAACGCAUGCACUCUUCUAAGGUAUCACACUCAUUACACACGCAAAGUGAUUGCCACAAAUUAACCACAAUGCCUUGCUGAUCUCGUCAAGGAGCGUCAAGCAUCACGCGAUCUCCGGUCAUCCUCGCAGCAGAUUUUGGCUCGCCGUCAAUCAAAGGCGGUCACCGCAUCGCGCACUUUCAGACGCUCUUCCGCGGCCGUCUGGAACGCUCUUCCUUCUGAUAUUAGGAAGCUACUGGAGCUAUGCACUUUUAAAUCGAGAUUGAAAACUCAUUCAUUGAUAACUGAUUUUUGUGUUUCGUUUGUUGUUCUUCCCCCGCAACUCCGAAUAGCACGGUUCGCUACGUACAGUGCAAAAGAAGUUCAACAUACACACAUUCCCAAGGCUUCGAUAAAAUUAGUACCACAUUGUUGGAGAGUCAGCAGUGUUGUCCCAUACAAAUGUGCCCUCAUAAUCAUCAUCAUCAUCAUCCAUGAUCAUUCCACUGCUGGAAAACGGCCUCCCCAAGUCGUCGCCAUCUCUCAGUUCUGCUCCGUAAGUUCACUUAGCGCCUGUACACGAGCUGAUUUCAUCACUCCACCUCCUCAGUCGAUGUCCUCUCAUACGCAUUCCAUCCCUUAGCUGUCACUCUGCAACUAAUCUUGACCAAUGGCCAUCGCCUCGUCUCGUGCGCACGGCCUGCAAGUCUCUGUGCGUUUCCCUUUCAUACCUCCCGUGUACAUUCCAAGCUUUUGUUUCACAGGAAUUUGGAACGUCCCACCACGGUAUCAGAGCAUCCAACGCGGAAGAGUGUAGCCGAGGCCAUUCAUCAUUUUGCUCCCCCACCCCUCUUUCUGUGAGUUUAUUUAAAAGGACGAGCAGCCCCGCCGUGGUCUUCAUCAGCUUGGACAGCACGUAGCUCCAGAUCCAACGCCGUGGAGUUCCGGGC